UGGGGAAUUUUGGACAAUGGGGGAAACCCUGAUCCAGCCAUCCCGCGUGUGCGAUGAAGGCCUUCGGGUUGUAAAGCACUUUUGGCAGGAAAGAAACGUCAUGGGUUAAUACCCCGUGAAACUGACGGUACCUGCAGAAUAAGCACCGGCUAACUACGUGCCAGCAGCCGCGGUAAUACGUAGGGUGCAAGCGUUAAUCGGAAUUACUGGGCGUAAAGCGUGCGCAGGCGGUUCGGAAAGAAAGAUGUGAAAUCCCAGAGCUCAACUUUGGAACUGCAUUUUUAACUGCCGUGCUAGAGUGUGGCAGAGGGAGGUGGAAUUCCGCGUGUAGCAGUGAAAUGCGUAGAUAGGCGGAGGAACACCGAUGGCGAAGGCAGCCUCCUGGGAUAACACUGACGCUCAUGCACGAAAGCGUGGGGAGCAAACAGG
RNAcentral lists this ribosomal RNA (429 nucleotides) under Acidobacteriota bacterium. RNAcentral's name for it is "Acidobacteria bacterium partial 16S ribosomal RNA". It matches the Rfam family "Bacterial small subunit ribosomal RNA", at positions 355 to 776 of the family's 1533-position model. Lineage: Bacteria; Pseudomonadati; Acidobacteriota. The record is from RNAcentral.